UUCACCUGCAAAAAUUGAUUUAUUACGAGUAAAUAUCCUAGAAUAUAAAUUUCAGAGGUCAGGCAAACUAAAACAUGUGAAAUAUUUGGCGAAAAUUUUUUUUAUUCUUGAUAACUACUCGAGAGAAAAAAAAUGUCGCUAAGGGCCAAAGACAGAUAAAAAAAAGAAUGAAAUAAUAGCUGUGAAGUAAUUGGAAUUGAAUUCUAAUCGACAUAAAGGAAGAGA
This is a long non-coding RNA of Asparagus officinalis (garden asparagus), 225 nucleotides long. RefSeq lists it as uncharacterized. The transcript has 2 exons. NCBI's taxonomy places the organism in Eukaryota, Viridiplantae, Streptophyta, Magnoliopsida, Asparagales, Asparagaceae. The record is from RefSeq and is a predicted model, not a curated record.